AACGUAGGAGACAAACGUUAUCCGGAGUGACUGGGCGUAAAGGGCGUGUAGGUGGUUGUGUAAGUCUGGCGUGAAAUUUUUCGGCUUAACCGGGAAAGGUCGUCGGAUACUGCAGAACUAGAGGACGGUAGAGGCGUGUGGAAUUCCGGGUGUAGUGGUGAAAUGCGUAGAGAUCCGGAGGAACACCAGUGGCGAAGGCGACACGCUGGGCCGUACCUGACACUGAUGCGCGACAGCAUGGGGAGCAAACAGG
Molecule: ribosomal RNA, 253 nt
Filed under: uncultured bacterium
Lineage: Bacteria
Description: partial 16S ribosomal RNA
Rfam family: Bacterial small subunit ribosomal RNA
Source: RNAcentral